ACGGAGGGUGCAAGCGUUGUUCGGAAUCACUGGGCGUAAAGGGCGCGCAGGCGGUUUGGUAAGUCAGAUGUGAAAUCCCACGGCUUAACCGUGGAAGUGCAUUUGAAACUGCCAGACUUGAGUAUCAGAGGGGAAAGCGGAAUUCCCGGUGUAGAGGUGAAAUUCGUAGAUAUCGGGAGGAAUACCGGUGGCGAAGGCGGCUUUCUGGAUUAAUACUGACGCUGAGGCGCGAAAGCGUGGGGAGCAAACAG
Molecule: ribosomal RNA, 251 nt
Filed under: uncultured prokaryote
Description: partial 16S rRNA
Rfam family: Bacterial small subunit ribosomal RNA
Source: RNAcentral